This 433-nucleotide ribosomal RNA is filed under the name uncultured bacterium. RNAcentral describes it as "partial 16S ribosomal RNA". It matches the Rfam family "Bacterial small subunit ribosomal RNA", at positions 29 to 507 of the family's 1533-position model. The record is from RNAcentral.
AACGAACGCUGGCGGCAUGCCUAACACAUGCAAGUCGAACGAGACCUUCGGGUCUAGUGGCGCACGGGUGCGUAACGCGUGGGAACCUGCCCUUAGGUUCGGAAUAACUCCCCGAAAGGGGUGCUAAUACCAGAUAAUGUCUUCGGACCAAAGAUUUAUCGCCUUUGGAUGGGCCCGCGUUGGAUUAGCUAGUUGGUAGAGUAAAAGCCUACCAAGGCGACGAUCCAUAGCUGGUCUGAGAGGAUGAUCAGCCACACUGGGACUGAGACACGGCCCAGAAUCCUACGGGAGGCAGCAGUGGGGAAUAUUGGACAAUUGGCGAAAGCCUGAUCCAGCAAUGCCGCGUGAGUGAUGAAGGCCUUAGGGUUGUAAAGCUCUUUUAACCGGGAUGAUAAUGACAGUACCGGGAGAAUAAGCUCCGGCUAACUCCGUG